GUUGGUGGUUAUAGCGGAAAGGGUCCACCCGAUCCCAUUUCGAACUCGGAAGUUAAGCUUUCCAGCGCCGAUGGUACUACGACGGAGACGUCGUGGGAGAGUAGGUCGCUGCCAACU
RNAcentral lists this ribosomal RNA (117 nucleotides) under Phormidium sp. SL48-SHIP. Lineage: Bacteria; Bacillati; Cyanobacteriota; Cyanophyceae; Oscillatoriales; Oscillatoriaceae. The record is from RNAcentral.